RNAcentral lists this ribosomal RNA (465 nucleotides) under uncultured bacterium. RNAcentral's name for it is "partial 16S ribosomal RNA". It matches the Rfam family "Bacterial small subunit ribosomal RNA", at positions 28 to 507 of the family's 1533-position model. The record is from RNAcentral.
GAUGAACGCUGGCGGCGUGCUUAACACAUGCCAGUCGAACGGAAAGGCCCCUUUGGGGGUACUCGAGUGGCGAACGGGUGAGUAACACGUGAGUAACCUGCCCUUGACUUCGGGAUAACUUCAGGAAACUGGGGCUAAUACCGGAUAGGAAUCCUUGCUGCAUGGUGGGGGUUGGAAAGCUUCGGCGGUUUUGGAUGGACUCGCGGCUUAUCAGCUUGUUGGUGGGGUAGUGGCUUACCAAGGCUUUGACGGGUAGCCGGCCUGAGAGGGCGACCGGCCACAUUGGGACUGAGAUACGGCCCAGACUCCUACGGGAGGCAGCAGUGGGGAAUAUUGCACAAGGGGCGGAAGCCUGAUGCAGCAACGCCGCGUGCGGGAGGACGGCCUUCGGGUUGUAAACCGCUUUCAGCAGGGGCGAAGCUUGUGGUGACGGUACCUGCAGAAGAAGCACCGGCUAACUACGUG